Molecule: ribosomal RNA, 300 nt
Filed under: uncultured bacterium
Lineage: Bacteria
Description: bacterial SSU rRNA
Rfam family: Bacterial small subunit ribosomal RNA
Source: RNAcentral
GGAUUAGAUACCCUGGUAGUCCAAGCCGUAAACGAUUAGCACUAGGUAGGGGGAACUCUGACGUUCUCCCUGCUGUAGCUAAUGUGUUAAGUGCUCCGCCUGGGGAGUAUGGUCGCAAGGCUAAAACUCAAAGGAAUUGACGGGGGCUCACACAAGCGGUGGAGCAUGUGGUUUAAUUCGAAACAACGCGCAGAACCUUACCUGGGUUUGACAUGCUAGGAUUAGCACUGUGAAAGCAGUGUGACGCGGGUAACCGUGGAACUAGCACAGGUGCUGCAUGGCUGUCGUCAGCUCGUGUCG